UGCCGGGUCGUCUAAUGGUAGGACAGCGCCCUUUGAAGGCGUCGAUUGGGGUUCGAGUCCCUGCCCGGCAG
Molecule: transfer RNA, 71 nt
Filed under: Candidatus Nealsoniibacteriota bacterium
Lineage: Bacteria; Candidatus Nealsoniibacteriota
Description: Candidatus Nealsonbacteria bacterium tRNA-Gln
Rfam family: tRNA
About the family: Transfer RNA (tRNA) molecules are approximately 80 nucleotides in length. Their secondary structure includes four short double-helical elements and three loops (D, anti-codon, and T loops).
Source: RNAcentral